RNAcentral lists this ribosomal RNA (249 nucleotides) under uncultured bacterium. Its description in RNAcentral is "partial 16S ribosomal RNA". It matches the Rfam family "Bacterial small subunit ribosomal RNA", at positions 796 to 1041 of the family's 1533-position model. The record is from RNAcentral.
CACGCCGUAAACGAUGGGUGCUAGGUGUCGCGGGCUUUGACCCCUGCGGUGCCGUAGCUAACGCAUUAAGCACCCCGCCUGGGGAGUACGGCCGCAAGGCUAAAACUCAAAGGAAUUGACGGGGGCCCGCACAAGCGGUGGAGCAUGUGGUUCAAUUCGACGCAACGCGCAGAACCUUACCUGGGCUAGAAAAUGCAGGGACCUGGUUGAAAAAUCGGGGUGCUCUUCGGAGAACCUGUAGUUAGGUGC